GACAGAGGGUGCGAACGUUGCUCGGAAUUACUGGGCGUAAAGCGCGUGUAGGCGGCCGCGCACGUCGGGUGUGAAAGCCCGGGGCUCAACCCCGGAAGUGCACUCGGUACGACGCGGCUGGAGUCCGGAAGAGGCAGGCGGAAUUCCCGGUGUAGAGGUGAAAUUCGUAGAUAUCGGGAGGAACACCAGUGGCGAAGGCGGCCUGCUGGACCGGCACUGACGCUGAGACGCGAAAGCGUGGGUAGCAAACAGG
This 253-nucleotide ribosomal RNA is filed under the name uncultured bacterium. RNAcentral describes it as "partial 16S ribosomal RNA". It matches the Rfam family "Bacterial small subunit ribosomal RNA", at positions 524 to 776 of the family's 1533-position model. The record is from RNAcentral.